CAGAGUCUCCCGACUCCCAAACCUUGUGAACAUACCACUGUUGCCUCGGCGUCACGCCCCGGGGGCGCUCCGGCGCUUCCGGACCAGGCGUCCGCCGGGGCUCCAAACCUCUUGAAUUCCAGCGGACUUCUGAGUAACAAAACAAAUAAGUUA
This 153-nucleotide unclassified non-coding RNA is filed under the name soil metagenome. Its description in RNAcentral is "partial internal transcribed spacer 1". The record is from RNAcentral.